Cinara cedri is the source of this 240-nucleotide non-coding RNA. NCBI's taxonomy places the organism in Eukaryota, Metazoa, Arthropoda, Insecta, Hemiptera, Aphididae. The record is from the annotation of a GenBank genome assembly.
UCACACAUGGUUUUCGGCACGAAAAAAAAACACGUUCGUUUCAAACCACUACUGCACAAAUACUAUAACAGUGACGAAAACGUGUUUUGGUACGUGCAUAGAUAAGAUAUCUAGAUACCCAAUGCAUUACUCGUUUUUUUCACUACCCAUCUAGGGCGCCCUCUAGGCGAACAGUCUCGUUGUUUAAUAGCCACACCUCGUAUAUUUUAAUGUAGGUCAAUUAACUUUGAUAUAGACCUA